Molecule: long non-coding RNA, 424 nt
Organism: Homo sapiens (human)
Lineage: Eukaryota; Metazoa; Chordata; Mammalia; Primates; Hominidae
Source: Ensembl
UUUUUUUUUUUUUUUGAGUUGGAGUCUCGCUAUGUUGCCCAGUAGUCGAUAUUUUUUAAAAUUGGUGAGAUUUACUACAAAACUGUCUUUCCAGUUUCUGUUCAAAAAUCAUACGAUACAGCACCAUCAAGUCUGCAUUCUUGCAUGGAACUGGAUGGAAUUGAGUUGUGUGGACUUCCUUUAGAUAACGUGUGAGCUUUCCUAUUUUGCUACAGCCCUACCCUGCCACUCCACUAAUUUCCAUAAGCUGUCUAGGCCCCUGAAGGGGCCUAGACAAUUAGUUUGCAAUUCCUACCCUACAAGGAUCCUGGGUUAUUAAGGGUAGGGAUGAUAAUAAAAAUACUCAACUGGUAUGAACUGGGAACCAACUAAUCAGGUCACCACUGGAUCAGAGCCUUGGAAGAGUCAGAUACCAACUCUUUAC